GACGAACGCUGGCGGCGUGCUUAACACAUGCAAGUCGAACGGAAAGGCCCUGCUUUUGUUGGGUGCUAGAGGCGCAAACGUGUGAAUAACACCGGAAUAACCUGCGCUGUACGUGGGGAUAACUUCAGAAAACUGGUGCUAAUACCUGCUAGGUGCUCCUGCUACCUGGGGGUGUUUGGAAAGCUUCGGCGGUUGGGGAUGGACGCGCGGCUUAUCAGCUUGUUGGUGGGGUAGUGGCUUACCAAGGCGUUGACGGGUAGCCGGCCUGAGAGGGUGACCGGCCACAUUGGGACUGAGAUACGGCCCAGACUCCUACGGGAGGCAGCAGUGGGGAAUAUUGCACAAUGGGCGGAAGCCUGAUGCAGCAACGCCGCGUGCGGGAUGACGGCCUUCGGGUUGUAAACCGCUUUCGCCUGUGACGAAGCGUGAGUGACGGUAAUGGGUAAAGAAGCACCGGCUAACUACGUG
Molecule: ribosomal RNA, 468 nt
Filed under: uncultured bacterium
Lineage: Bacteria
Description: partial 16S ribosomal RNA
Rfam family: Bacterial small subunit ribosomal RNA
Source: RNAcentral